GUUUCCCUGCAGAGGUUUGGUGCUGCUCAGUUGUGGCCCCCUGACAGAAGAAGAGACGGCAUCUUUCCCUCUCUGGCGCUGCUUCUGCUUCACGCAGACUGCUGAACCAGCUCGGCUCGCCUCCGGCCUUCGAUUUUGUCCCUCGGCAGGAUCCUCUCUCAGUUUCACGAGGCCUCCGAGACCGGUGACCCAGCUCGGCUCAGCUCCGGGCUGGCAGGUGUCUGAGCUCGAUGUCUCCGGCGGGAUGACGGGGCCAAAGCGGCUGCACAUUUUGACUUCCUCCUUCCAAACACAUCUUUGAAAUGUUUCACUUUUGACAGUUUUCUUUGAGGGUCAAAAUGGUUUUACUUUUAAAGAUUCUGCUGAGAACUUAAAGACACAGUAUACGGCUUCUGCCACCAGGGUUUUCUCAGUCUCAACGACAACGAAAGACCUGAAGCAGUGCGGGAUCAUGGGAGUUGGUGUCGUCAUGUCAAAUGGCCACCUGAAGUGACUCGGGCAGAAACGUUCACAGCAAAGUCAUGCAUUAAAGUUUCAUUCAUUUUACGUCACAUUCAUUGACUUCCUUCCUCACUCUCUGACAUAUCUGAUGUUUCCCUGUAAGUUAGAGCAACAGGUGACCGAAUCAAACGCACCAUUACCUUGAGUAAAAUCAUACUAUAUCAUAUUUCUCUGGAUGUUAUUGGAAACAUGUUGUUGGAAACAAUGUGAAACUGAAAGAUCAGUUUGUUUAUUCAGUCAAGAAAACAAAGAGAGUUUGUGUAUUUAGUUUGUUCAGGCAUUAAAACAAUCAGCCGAGUGGAGCUUUAAGGUGUCAAAUUGUGGCGUAUUUUAAAAUAGAAGGAAAACAAAUUCUGCAAAGUUACUAAAAUAAAAAAAAGGCAAUGAGACCAAGUCAAAUUAUCAUUAACAUUUGUCUACUUUUAAUUACAUUUAAUGCAGCGCUCUACUGAAUUAACAAAGUGCCUCUCAGUCUGGGAUCCUUGGACUGCCGACAGCCUCUGCUUAUUUUCAAACGGUGUAGUCAGCUGUUGCUCUGAUUGUCACUGGGCUACGUACACAUAAACAUACUGACCUUGGAUCAGAUGAGCCCGGGCACAUCACCCCACCCAGUUAUCUCCCAGACCUGUUGACACUGUGAUCAGAGCAGCUCAGCGCAGUUCAGACCUGCAGUGACUUCAUCCAUUCUUCCUUUAUUCUGUCUCUGCUGGGAGUUAGGCUGGAUGAGAGCAAUACCACUCUUAUAUCUGCUACCAACGAAGAAAAAGACACAGACGCUCCAACCAGUGGCACGGCUAACUGAGCUAACAGUAGCUAUGGACGUAGGAACAGAGUCCAGUUAGCAGCAGUUAGCGGUUACUCUGGUGGUAUGCUGCCCCUACUGGCUGGGAGUGUGAAUUCAGGGAGGUGGCUGAUUCUUACAUACUGCACCUUUAACGCACAGAUAUGAGUGAAAGUAUAUUUCCCAGACUGUUGUUUCUUUCAGUAAUUACAUUAAACAUUGUCAUACCU
Acanthopagrus latus (yellowfin seabream) is the source of this 1512-nucleotide long non-coding RNA. RefSeq lists it as uncharacterized. The record is from RefSeq and is a predicted model, not a curated record. NCBI's taxonomy places the organism in Eukaryota, Metazoa, Chordata, Actinopteri, Spariformes, Sparidae. The transcript has 3 exons.